GACGAACGCUGGCGGCGUGCUUAACACAUGCAAGUCGAACGGAAAGGCCCUGCUUUUGUGGGGUGCCCGAGUGGCGAACGGGUGAGUAACACGUGAGUAACCUGCCCUUGACUUUGGGAUAACUUCAGGAAACUGGGGCUAAUACCGGAUAGGAGCUCCUGCUGCAUGGUGGGGGUUGGAAAGUUUCGGCGGUUGGGGAUGGACUCGCGGCUUAUCAGCUUGUUGGUGGGGUAGUGGCUUACCAAGGCUUUGACAGGUAGCCGGCCUGAGAGGGUGACCGGCCACAUUGGGACUGAGAUACGGCCCAGACUCCUACGGGAGGCAGCAGCGGGGAAUAUUGCACAAUGGGCGGAAGCCUGAUGCAGCAACGCCGCGUGCGGGAUGACGGCCUUCGGGUUGUAAACCGCUUUCGCCUGUGACGAAGCGUGAGUGACGGUAAUGGGUAAAGAAGCACCGGCUAACUACGUG
RNAcentral lists this ribosomal RNA (468 nucleotides) under uncultured bacterium. RNAcentral's name for it is "partial 16S ribosomal RNA". It matches the Rfam family "Bacterial small subunit ribosomal RNA", at positions 28 to 507 of the family's 1533-position model. The record is from RNAcentral.